UCAGGGGGUAUUUUAUUUAAAAUGUUAGUUUUGGGGACUAGUGAAAUGGCGUGUGUCUUUCCUCUGAA
This 68-nucleotide transfer RNA is filed under the name Coptotermes testaceus. RNAcentral describes it as "tRNA-Pro". Lineage: Eukaryota; Metazoa; Arthropoda; Insecta; Blattodea; Rhinotermitidae. The record is from RNAcentral.